This 253-nucleotide ribosomal RNA is filed under the name uncultured bacterium. RNAcentral describes it as "partial 16S ribosomal RNA". It matches the Rfam family "Bacterial small subunit ribosomal RNA", at positions 524 to 776 of the family's 1533-position model. The record is from RNAcentral.
UACGAAGGGGACUAGCGUUGUCCGGAAUCACUGGGCGUAAAGGGCGCGUAGGCGGCGCGGGGAGUCAACGGUGAAAGCUCGGCGCUCAACGCCGAGUCGGCCGUCGAUACUCCCGUGCUUGAGCACUGUAGAGGCAGGUGGAAUUCCGGGUGUAGCGGUGGAAUGCGUAGAGAUCCGGAAGAACACCGGAGGCGAAGGCGGCUUGCUGGGCGUAGUCUGACGCUGAGGCGCGAAAGCGUGGGGAGCGAACAGG